RNAcentral lists this ribosomal RNA (865 nucleotides) under uncultured bacterium. Its description in RNAcentral is "bacterial SSU rRNA". It matches the Rfam family "Bacterial small subunit ribosomal RNA", at positions 43 to 916 of the family's 1533-position model. The record is from RNAcentral.
CAGGCCUAACACAUGCAAGUCGAACGAGGUAGCAAUACCUAGUGGCGGACGGGUGAGGAAUACGUAGGGAUCUGCCCUUAAGUGGGGGAUAACCCGGGGAAACCCGGAUUAAUACCGCAUGAUCUCGCAAGAGCAAGGAGGGGGACCGCAAGGCCUCUCGCUUUUGGAGGAACCUACGUCGGAUUAGCUAGUUGGUGAGGUAAUGGCUCACCAAGGCUACGAUCCGUAACUGGUCUGAGAGGAUGAUCAGUCACACCGGAACUGAGACACGGUCCGGACUCCUACGGGAGGCAGCAGUGGGGAAUAUUGGACAAUGGGCGAAAGCCUGAUCCAGCAAUACCGCGUGUGUGAAGAAGGCCUUCGGGUUGUAAAGCACUUUAAGUUGGGAAGAAAAAACUUUACUUAAUACGUGAAGUCUUGACGGUACCGACAGAAUAAGCACCGGCUAACUCUGUGCCAGCAGCCGCGGUAAUACAGAGGGUGCUAGCGUUAAUCGGAUUUACUGGGCGUAAAGCGUGCGUAGGCGGUUUGAUAAGUCGAUUGUGAAAGCCCUGGGCUCAACCUAGGAAUUGCGGUCGAUACUGUCAGACUAGAAAACGGUAGAGGGAGGUGGAACUCCAGGUGUAGCGGUGAAAUGCGUAGAUAUCUGGAAGAACACCGAUGGCGAAGGCAGCCUCCUGGGCCUGUUUUGACGCUGAGGCACGAAAGCGUGGGUAGCAAACAGGAUUAGAUACCCUGGUAGUCCACGCCGUAAACGAUGAGAACUUGACGUUGGUUUGCUUAGCAAAUCGGUGUCGUAGCUAACGCGAUAAGUUCUCCGCCUGGGGAGUACGGCCGCAAGGUUGAAACUCAAAGGAAUUGACGG